Molecule: ribosomal RNA, 292 nt
Filed under: uncultured bacterium
Lineage: Bacteria
Description: partial 16S ribosomal RNA
Rfam family: Bacterial small subunit ribosomal RNA
Source: RNAcentral
GUGCCAGCAGCCGCGGUAAUACAGAGGGUGCGAGCGUUAAUCGGAAUUACUGGGCGUAAAGCGAACGUAGGUGGUUUUGCAAGUCGAGUGUGAAAGCCCCGGGCUCAACCUGGGAACUGCAUUCGAGACUGCAUUACUCGAGUAUGGGAGAGGGCAGUGGAAUUUCCGGUGUAGCGGUGAAAUGCGUAGAUAUCGGAAGGAACAUCAGUGGCGAAAGCGACUGCCUGGCCCAAUACUGACACUCAAGUUCGAAAGCGUGGGGAGCAAACAGGAUUAGAUACCCCCGUAGUCC